This 635-nucleotide ribosomal RNA is filed under the name uncultured bacterium. Its description in RNAcentral is "bacterial SSU rRNA". It matches the Rfam family "Bacterial small subunit ribosomal RNA", at positions 104 to 726 of the family's 1533-position model. The record is from RNAcentral.
GGGUGAGUAAUAUAUCGGAACGUGCCCCAGUCGUGGGGGAUAACUGCUCGAAAGAGCAGCUAAUACCGCAUACGACCUGAGGGUGAAAGCGGGGGAUCGCAAGACCUCGCGCGACUGGAGCGGCCGAUAUCAGAUUAGGUAGUUGGUGGGGUAAAGGCUCACCAAGCCAACGAUCUGUAGCUGGUCUGAGAGGACGACCAGCCACACUGGGACUGAGACACGGCCCAGACUCCUACGGGAGGCAGCAGUGGGGAAUUUUGGACAAUGGGCGCAAGCCUGAUCCAGCCAUGCCGCGUGCGGGAAGAAGGCCUUCGGGUUGUAAACCGCUUUUGUCAGGGAAGAAACGGCUUUUUCUAAUACAGAGAGCUAAUGACGGUACCUGAAGAAUAAGCACCGGCUAACUACGUGCCAGCAGCCGCGGUAAUACGUAGGGUGCAAGCGUUAAUCGGAAUUACUGGGCGUAAAGCGUGCGCAGGCGGUUAUGCAAGACAGAUGUGAAAUCCCCGGGCUCAACCUGGGAACUGCAUUUGUGACUGCAUAGCUAGAGUACGGUAGAGGGGGAUGGAAUUCCGCGUGUAGCAGUGAAAUGGGAGUUUGAUCCUGGCUCAGGGUCAGCUUAACGCGUGAAGUUGACC